This 68-nucleotide transfer RNA is filed under the name Pterorhinus courtoisi. RNAcentral's name for it is "Garrulax courtoisi tRNA-Phe". It matches the Rfam family "tRNA". From Rfam's summary of the family: Transfer RNA (tRNA) molecules are approximately 80 nucleotides in length. Their secondary structure includes four short double-helical elements and three loops (D, anti-codon, and T loops). Lineage: Eukaryota; Metazoa; Chordata; Aves; Passeriformes; Leiothrichidae. The record is from RNAcentral.
GUCCUUGUAGCUUAUACAAAGCAUGGCACUGAAGAUGCCAAGAUGGCUGUCAAACACACCCAAGGACA